Molecule: long non-coding RNA, 4235 nt
Organism: Cavia porcellus (domestic guinea pig)
Lineage: Eukaryota; Metazoa; Chordata; Mammalia; Rodentia; Caviidae
Exons: 6
Source: RefSeq, a predicted model, not a curated record
UUUGUUUCAAGCUUGUGCAACCGGGAGGUGGAGGCCGAGGGAGGGCCCGAGCCGCCGGCCGCGGGGUGCGGAAGUUCGCCGCCGCCGUUCAUUGGCAGGCUGCGCCGCUUUCAUCAUUUCUCGCAAAAGUCAAUUUCAUUUUCACUUCCCCAAGUCGAGCUGCGGGAGCAACAAGCGGCAGCCCGUGAGUCUGGCUCGCACCGAGGGGCGCGCAGAACCGCCCCGGCGCUCCGGGGUCGGCGCAGGCUCGCGGAGGCGGGGAGGUAGGGAAGUACCUGCCUCUCCCUCCAGGGGGACCCCGCAGGUGACGGAGGGGCCGCUCACCCUCCCGGGGCAGCAAGGGCGCGCCUGCUCUCCGGUGGGUAGGGAGGUGAUGCUUGCAGCCGCUGUGUGCAGGGUGAAUAAAAGCCUCGCUUUGGAGCAAUGCCCGCAUCAAAGGAAAGAGAGGAACAAUCAGCUGAGAAAUAGCGUGACUGAGGCCCGGACCUUCCUGGCCUACUUAACUGUGGUUGAAGAUGUGAGGGGUCUGCCAGCCCGCCCUCUGACACCGCCUGGAACUCCAUUUGGGAGUUAGGAUGGGAGGGAGGCCUCCCCGCAGUCACAGCAGCACUGCAAGGUCAGUUACCGACGUGUCACCAAAGUGCCACUGAUGCCAGGAAGAAGAAGAAAUGCAGGAUAUGAGUUUGAACUUCUUGCUCCUUGCAUGCAUGGGAUUCUGACUACCCUUGAGCAGCCUCCUCUAUGCACAGUUCCCAGGAAAGAAAUAAUGAGGCAUAGUUGGACAGUUGAUGCCUUCCUUGUGUCUGUGACAGGCAGCUGUCUAAGUGGUGUGCUUUCAUGGGAGCCAGACAAAGCCAUGCCCACAAACCUCCAUCCUGCGUCCUAAUUACCUUUUACCGCAUGUAAGGUCAUUCCUGGAAGCCCAUGAGCUGGGUGUGGAAAACCUCCAGACUUGGGGCUGGACUUCCCUGUUCCUGUUCUUUCAGUGCAACCCUGAUGAAAGCACAAUCAUGUUGCCUUGUUUCAGUAAAAGACAUUGUCUUAAUUAUGGUCUUUGACAAGCAAGAAAUUUUACACAAAAUUUUUCUUCCAUUCGUGUUUGAUGUUUUCUUUCCAAAGGGUACAUUCAGUCAUAUCCUAGUGACCUGUUGAUAUUACAAACAAAUAUCUUGCGCCCUGGCCCAUCCCUAGGUCACUGCUGUCAUUCAGGUAUUGUAGUUCCUGGAAACCUUUCUCCUACCUGUCUCAUACGUUGGACUCCUCCAGGCCAGUGGCUACUUUGCUACCAGAGUCAAGUAGAAAAUAAAUGUCCAGUUGAGGACUUUUCUUUGCCCCCCAAAAACCUCUCUGUAGCUUUCAGAAUGAAAGCCAUAUUAUUUGACAAAACACAAAGUCCUUGUAAUCUCACGGCAGACUUAUUUUGCAGCUUUAUCCUCUGCCACUGCACCCCAUAAGGCCUGCGUCUCUCCCUUGCCAAACUGGCUGCCUUCCUUUAUGCAAAACAGUGGAGAUGGGAGCCACUGCCUUUAUUCCUUGUUUAUCCUGAGGAUAGGGCCGAGCACAUAGGCUCUCAGUACUUGUGAAUUAUUGAUUGCUUGCUCUUUUUAUCAGGUUCUUAUAAAAUAUUUUACACAUUAUAAUAGCAUUUGGUUUAUAUUUUAAUAACUUGAAUAUAAAUGUAACUGAUAUUUAUUUUGCAGCAGUCAAAAAAUCCUGGAAAGGCGAAAGAAGAGACUAAGCCACUUGAAAUCUCACCUCUUGAUUUUGGCAGAAGUGUCUCCACUUCGUCUAUGUGACUGACAGUUCCCAGGUACAACUCCUGGCACUACCCGAUUCACCUUUGGUCUGCUCAUCAGUUCCCACUGGGUUCACCAUGUACCAUCCUGAGAGCUCCAGGGAAGGCUUUAAAUCAGGAGAACAACCAGCUGUGCUCUAACACCGUGAGACCGAAGGAGAGAAGGAAACGUGUAGGCCCAGCAACACCGUGUGCAGGCAUCACCGCUGAGCAAGUUCACGCUGCGAGAGGCAGGCGGAGGCUCCAGGUCAGACGCCGACUUCGUGGGUCCCUCACCAGCGCAGCUGCGCGAGUGUUGUCUCUGUUUUUCUUUGUUUCACUUCCCAUCUUAAUUUUUUUAAAAAAUGCCUUUUGAACAAUACAGAACGAGCAGAACUGUGACCGCGUUUCACAACAUAGGCAGUUGAUGUCAUGCUUUUUUGACACUUUAUGACAAUCGUUUUUUUCCUAAUUGAGGAACAGGAAGAGCACUAUCUCUGACCCUUUCGUCUCUCACAAUGCUUCUUUUUAACUGGCCGCCUAUAUACAUUUUUUUGUUUCUGGAUAUUUUUUGUUUACCAUGAACUUAUGUGUAAAAUAGUGGGAAAUAUUUAUGUUAUACAUUAAGGAUAAAGGGAAAAUUAAGUUCUAGAUGUAUGAAACCAAGAAGAUGAUCAUACAAAAUAUUAAAGAGAAGUUGAUUAGGAUAUUCGCAGUGGUUGCCUGUGAAUGACGAGACUAUGAGUAGCUUUUUUUGUCUUGAAAUUUUUUUUUACCAUUUUUGAGAAUGGAUUUUUAUUACUGUAAAAUUUUAGAUAACUUUUUAAAGAUAACUGAUAGGUAAUUUCAGAAAUUUACUCUGAUACUCUUGUGAUUUUUAUGUAUAAAUUACUUGUAACUUUUAGCUGUUUAUUUCCAUAGUUAUGUUAAAAAGAAAACACUGAAGUUUAUAUCCAAGGUCUUAAACUAUAAUUUGUUGAGAAUUUUUACAUCUAUUUAUCUUCAAGUGACAUAGAAGAUCUCCUAAACAUGCUAUGCCCUUUCUCCUAGCAUUUUCUUAAAAUAUUUACUUUUCAAAAGGAUUUAUUCCUAACAGUUCAAAUAUUGUUUGUCCAGAGCAACAUACAAUGUAUAUGAAUAAACUUGGAAUUUAGUGGUCCUGAAAUAUAAAAAUAAUUCACAAAUCUUUUUUAAACUUAAAAAUGUUUUAAACAUGCUAUUUGAAAAAAAUGAGAAUUCAAAUAAAUCGGUAUAAAUUAAAUAAUCUUUAAUUAUUAAUUUCAUUUCGCUUAUAUGCAAAUUCUACUUGCUAUAUUAUUAGCAAUAAAUUCAAAUUGUUAGAUCUCAAAUACAAAUGAGGACUAUCGCCUAUUUUGCUUUCUUGAUUUCCAUAUAUAACCAGAUUAUCAGAAUGAGAAAAAGAAGAAUAUCUCAUUUGGGCAAUGAGGAAAAGGACUCUCUCUCUCUCUCUCUCUCUCUCUCUCUGUCAUGCACACACACACACACACAGAGAGAGACAAGGUAGUAGAAGGCUCUUUGUACCCUUGUACCCAUAUCCUCAUUUGGAAUUGAGAACAUUGUUUUCUCACAGAAACACUGAUAUUAUAAGUGUGUGGUUUACCUUUGCUCUGAGUUAAAAGUAAGUUGAGGAGUGAUCUGGGGCUACACACAUUUAUUACAUUGUGUACAUGGGUAAAUUUCAUUUGCAUCUAAGCCGCUAUUUUCAGGAGUCUCCGUGAGAGCACACCAAAGGGCUGGGUCUGGGACCAUUUGUCCACCACAGUGCUGUGCUCAGCACUUCGGAGGAGGACAGGAGAAAGGAGGAUUGCUUCCUGAUCCCAGCGUGCUUGCAUUGUACACUGGGAGAAAAGCCUGCAAUGACAGGAUCAUUGCUGCAAGAUGAAAAGUUCCUGGGUGUCUUCAAAGUCUGAUGCUCGAAGGUGUUAUAACCAACUUGAGUUCUGGUGAGGAGCAAAUCCAAUUUCUGGCUCAUCCCCUUGAGAGUCGGCUCUCCCUAACUUCAUUUCCAAGCUUCCCUUCCUGACUGCCAGCAACAGGCACAGAUAAUAUCACCACUCAGUACCUCAGUAGGAUCAUCCAGUGCAUAGAAGAUGGUGGUUGAGGAUUAUCAAUAAAUAAUACAUUAAAUAGCAAGGGACAUGAUCACUUUUGCAAGUCCUCCCACCAUUGUGAUACCAUCACCAGAAACUUCACCCACUUCUCUGAAAGUGCCCUUCAUCCGUGAAGUUGGAGCCAGGAGAGAUCAAUAUGGCAGGACACGUUGGUUUCUGAUCAUCCUAUGGGUUCCAUCUCGCUCGCUGUCUUCCAUCUUCUCCUCAUGAAUCUAGCCCUGAUGAUCUCAAGCCCAGGCCUGGAUACGUGGUGACAGACUGUAGCAAAUGCUCAAUCAGCUCCUAUGACCAUGUAAGCAUUAACCUUUUCAAUAAAGUCCUUAUUCUGA